GUGAGUCAUCGAAUCUUUGAACGCACCUUGCACCCUUUGGUAUUCCGAAGGGUACACCCGUUUGAGUGUCAUUGUAAUCUCACCUCUUCAACUUUCGAUGGUUGAUCAGUGUGGACUUGGAUGGUGCUGUGUGACAACAGCUCGUCUGAAAUGCUUGAGUGUACCCUGUUCAGUGGUGUAUUCAGUGUAAUAAAACUUCACUGGAGUUGAUCCUUUGGAUCACACCUCUUUGACCAUGGCUCUAUGCUUCCAACUGUCCUUUUGUGACAAUGCUUUGACAAUUUGACCUCAAAUCGGGUGGGACUACCCGCUGAACUUAAGCAUAUCAAUAAGCGGAGGA
RNAcentral lists this unclassified non-coding RNA (340 nucleotides) under Sebacinales sp. RNAcentral's name for it is "partial contains 5.8S ribosomal RNA, internal transcribed spacer 2, and large subunit ribosomal RNA". The stretch from base 1 to 71 matches the Rfam family "5.8S ribosomal RNA", at positions 84 to 154 of the family's 154-position model. Lineage: Eukaryota; Fungi; Basidiomycota; Agaricomycetes; Sebacinales. The record is from RNAcentral.